RNAcentral lists this ribosomal RNA (411 nucleotides) under uncultured microorganism. Its description in RNAcentral is "bacterial SSU rRNA". It matches the Rfam family "Archaeal small subunit ribosomal RNA", at positions 330 to 742 of the family's 1478-position model. The record is from RNAcentral.
GCGCACCAGUCGAGAAAACUUCACAAUGUGCGAAAGCACGAUGAGGGAAUCCCAAGUGCUUGCACGUAAGUGUAAGCUGUUUCUCUGUCUAAAACGCAGAGAGAGUAAGGGCUGGGUAAGACGGGUGCCAGCCGCCGCGGUAAUACCUGCAGCUCGAGUGGUGACCGUUAUUAUUGGGCCUAAAACGUCCGUAGCCGGUUUAAUAAAUGCCUGGGUAAAUCGGACCGCUUAACGGUUCGAAUUCCGGGUAGACUGUUAAACUUGAGACCGGGAGAAGUUAGAGGUACUCCUGGGGUAGAGGUGAAAUUCUGUAAUCCUAGGGGGACCACCAGUGGCGAAGGCGUCUAACUAGAACGGGUCUGACGGUGAGGGACGAAGCCCUGGGGCGCAAACGGGAUUAGAUACCCGUGU